This is a non-coding RNA of Triticum urartu, 140 nucleotides long. Lineage: Eukaryota; Viridiplantae; Streptophyta; Magnoliopsida; Poales; Poaceae. The record is from Rfam.
GUGAUACUCCCUCCGUCCGGAAAUACUUGUCAUCAAAAUGAAUAAAAGGGGAUGUAUGAUAUCUAGAUGUAUUUUAGUUCUAGAUACAUUCAUUUUUGUCUAUUUUGAUGACAAGUAUUUUUGGACGAAGGGAGUAUAAU